CUUAAGACUGUCCAAAUUUUUCAGAGUAAAUAGGACCAAUUUCGAAUCUAAAAGUGAAGGAGAAGAAAAUCUUUCAAGUCUUCAAGUUCCUUCGAACGAUUGGGCUCGAGACGAGUAUUUCUCCUUUGUUCUCAAAGAGAACAUACGACUAAUACCAAUUUCGAGUCAAAUCGAAAUCGCCCGAGGUUUAUCAAGCCCUGUCGGUAUGGCCAUCGAGGUAUUUUCUUUGUUUUGUCUCCUUUGUCUCCCUCGUCUGUUUCGUUCUUAAACCUGGAUUAUUCUGUUUCUUCUCUUCUCAUUCCUUUUAAUGUUCGUGGUAAUGAAUUUGAGUCCUCUUCCUCUUUAAUUUAAGUUUGUUAUUUGAAGUUCAAUGAAAUAGGAAUUAGCGUAUCAAUGUCAUGGUUUAACUUGAUUAGUUAAUCAAUUUAAUUACUUUAAAUGACUGUUUUCGAGCUUCUUUAGUGAAAUCUUUUUCUAUUGAAAAUUCAAAAGUUGGUUUGUUCGAAAGAUUCUUACUAAAUUCAGAAUUUGAAAACUCAAUUUAGAAUGCUAGUAUAUAGACUUAUGGUUUGCACUGGGUCUUGGGUUAAUUCAACACUGGGUCAACUUUGACCCAUAUCUAUUAUGGUUUCCGAAGGUAAAUAAUAGUUGUUUAAGGGGUAGUUUAGGGAAAUUAGGCAGGGGAAUCUUUUAUAACUGCAUUAGGAAGCUUCUAGGUUAGUGGGGAAGGGAUUGGCUUGCAAAACUGAUUUUUAUUGGGGUUUGAACUGAAUGAAGGAAAUUUGGGGAAGGGGUAAAUAGCAAUUAAUAAACUCUUUGCUCUGCCCUAACCCAUCUCUAUAAAAGCCCCAUUUCCUGAAAAUUUUAAGGGGAUGAGAUUGUAUCAAAUAAAAAACGACUGAAAAAUACCGAACGAGUUUGAAUAAUUAGAAAAAUACAAAGACAAAUCAUAGAAUUACUGUUAAAUUGAAGUUUUUCUGCAAUUCUAAUGGUUCUCAAGUUUGAAAGUAAUCUUUGAUUCAUUUUGGGCUCGAUUUAGUGUAAUGAAGUUGGAUUUGAUAUUGUUGAACUGCUGAAGUGCACCUGCUUCUGAUGUUGAUCUUGUCACCCCUUUCUUUUGCUCUAAAUUGCAUCAGGUAUUCUCCUGAAACUAUGGUGGAAAUGAAGCCUGAUUAAGUUUUGUAAAUAGAUCUGCGAAUCGAGCUAAAGUUUAAAUGAAAAACACUAGUUCAUGUUGUAAUUACUGCUCGAUUUUGCCAUUUUUCAUGCUUUUAGUCUAGUUUAUUUUAGAUAUUUCAUUCCUGAAUGUACAUUUAAUUUAAGUGUUGGGUGGACUUUGUUUGAAUAUAGGUGAUUCAGGAAUGUUUUAAAUCUAGUAUAAUCUGUGUUAAUUGAAGAUUAUGAUUCCAAAUUUAAUUAGUUAAGGCUGGAUGGUUUCGAUGUAUGUUUCAUGGCUAUGGUUUGAAUUACAAGUUUAGACCCUUCAUGUUGUUGUUCUAGCAAGCUUGGUUUGGGUUUAUUUCCCACCGUUCAUUUUAGAUAUGUUCCUAUAUAACUUGAAAUAUAGUACAAUGGUUUUAGAGUUAUCCUUCAGUAUGCUUUUGCUCUUGUACGAGCACUUUUAAUCUUAGAAGGAUUUUUGAAUGGGGUUUGAGCUUGGUUUUUGACUUGAAACUUUUAGAUUUAAACUAACCCUUCAUAUUUUGUUUUCUUUGACAAAUUUCGAUGUCAUGUGGUAUGUUUUAAAUGUGCUAUGCUUGAAUAAGAAUUUAAUACGAGCUGGGGGGCCUUUGAGUUUUGUUAAUUGGUGAAUAAUUUGUGUAAAGGUGUGUUAUUGCAAAUAAGGAUUGUAUCUUCGUAUUAGAACCUAUGUUAGCAUUAAAAUGUGCUUUCCAUUUGAUUCAAAGAUUAUCAGUAUUUGUUCAAUUCCAGAUUUUCUUUAAUGUUAUAAUUUGCUUCAAACAUAUUCAAUGAAUCGUGUAUUAGGGUGCCAUCAUUGGCCCAAUUGCAAUUGUCUUCCCUUGCUGCAAUCAGGCUGCCAAUAUGUGCUUCACGUUGAACCUAGUUAUUUCACAUGCUGAGCCUAUAGUAAUGGGCAAUCAGACGUGGUUUUUGACCAGCUCGGCCCUCCCACAAUCAAAUAUGGGUAGUCUGUUACUAGUUCGUUGUUUUAUUAAAUUAUUAGCUUAAGAUUUGGAAUAACAUAAGUAGGAAUCCCUAGUCACGUUCUUUUAAUUAUUUUCGAUGUGUGCCAUUAGCAAAUUUUCUAUAGCCCUUUGUAAACUUGGAAGUGCGUAGUUGCUUUAGGCGCGAUAUUUAAAAAUUACUUCCCUAAACUCGGGUGUGCAUUUAUGUGACCCAAAUCUAAAUCUCAACAACGUUAGAUGAAAUAUGUCAUAGACCGCGAGUGCAUUUAUGUGACAUAGUUCAAGACGAGUUUUAUAUGACGUUGAAUCUUUCCUAAAAAAUGAAAUAAUAAUUGAAUAAAAGCGGGUAUAAUGUUAAAGUUGUACCAUAGGUUAAACAUGUAUUAAAAUCAAAUAAUAGGCCAAUUAUAAUAGUUGAGCGACCAUGCUAGAACCAUAAAACUCAUGAAUGCUUAACACCUUCUCCCGGGUUAAUAGAAUUCCUUACCCAUAUUUCUGUGUUCGCGGACUGUAAUACAAAGUUAAUCUUUUCCUCAAUUCGAGAUUUGAACUAGUGACUUGGGAUACCGUAAAAUUAUCCCAAGUGGUGACUCCGAAUUUUUAAAUAAAAAUAUUCUCGUUUCGAUUGUCACUUAAAUUGGUAAAACUCCCUAAUCUACCUUCCAAGGUGUAGGAAAAAGGAUGUGUGAUAGUUAUUACCAUCGAUUUGUUGAUGGGUUUUCAUCUAUUGCAGCACAUAUGACCAGGCUGACCUAGAAGGGUGCUCCGUUCCAGUGGACGGGAGAGUGUGAGGCGAGCUUUCAGAAGCUCAAGACAACUUUGACUACAGCCCCAGUCUUGAUAUUGACUACAGCCCCAGUCUUGAUAUUGCCUAUAGGUUCGAGGUCUUAUACUGUCUAUUGUGAUACCUUAAUGAUGGGCCUUGGAGCGGUAUUAACGCAGAAUGGUAGGGUGAUUGCCCAUGCGUCCAUACAGUUGAAGGUACACGAGAAUAAUUAUUAUGUCCAUGAUCUUUAGUUAGCUGCUAUUGUCACGCCUUAAAGAUCAGGCGUCAUUGUUUGUAUAGUGUGCCUUGUGAGAUUUAUGCUGAUCACCAGAGUUUGCAACAUCUGUUUAAGCAGAAGGAUCUUAAUUUGCGCCAGAUGAGAUGGUUAGAGUUGUUGAAGGACUAUAUAUCGCUAUUUUGUAUCACUCGGGUAAGGUCAAUGUGGAGACUAGUGCUUUGAGUGACCGAGAAGAAAGGCUAGGGAUUUAAGCUUAUUUAACAGCAUAAGAGAUGUCCAUGGCGAUGGAUGUUCAUGCCUUAGCUAGCAAGUUUGUGAGAUUGGAUAUUUUAGAGCCCAGUCGGGUUCUAGCUUGCGUGGUCUUCUGUAUUUCUUGUUUUAUCGUAUUCGGGAGCGUCAGUUUGAUGACCAUUAUUUGCUUGUCCUCUAAGACAAGGUUUUGCAUGGCGAUGCCAGAGAUGUGACUAUUGGUGAUGAUGGGGUAUUAAGGAUGUAGGGUCGAGUAUGUGUACCCAAUGUUGAUGGGCUUCAGGAGUUGAUUCUAGAGAAGACACAUAGUUUGCAGUAUUCUAUUCAUCCGGGUGCCGCGAAGAUGUACCGUGAUUUAAGGCAGCACUAUCGGUGGAGGCAUAUGAAGAAAAAUAUAGUUGGUUUUGCAUCUCGGUGCCUCAAUUGUCAACAGGUGAAGUAUAAGCACCAUAUAUUAGGCGGGUUGCUUAAACAGAUAGAGAUCCAGGAGUGGAAGUGGGAGAGGAUCACCAUGGACUUCGUAGUUGGACUCCCACAAACUUUGAGGAAGUUCGAUGCCAUUUAGGUGAUUGUGGAUCGGCUGACCAAGUUCGCGAAUUUCAUCCCUAUGUGUACUACCUAUCUUUGAAGUGACUAGCAGAGAUUUAUAUCUGGGAAAUUGUUCGUCUGCAUGGUAUUUAGAUUUCUAUCAUUUCAGAUAGAGGUACUCAGUUCACAACAUGGUUUUAGAGGGCCGUACAUCAUGAGUUGGGUACUCGGGUGGACUUGAGUACAACAUUUCACCCUCAGACGAACAGACAGUCCAAAUGCACUAUUCAGAUUCUUGAGGAUAUACUCAAUGCGUGUGUGAUUGAGUUUAGAGGGUCUUGGGAUUAGUUCUGGCCAUUAGCGAAGAUUGCCUACAACAACAGUUACCAGUCUAGCAUUCAGAUGGCACCGUAUGAGGUUUUAUAUGGUUGGCGGUAUAGAUCCCAAAUGGGUUGGUUUGAGCCAGAUGAGGCUAGAUUAUUGGGCACAUGCUUGGUACAAGAUGCUUUGGAGAAGGUUAAGGUGAUUCAGGAUAGAUUUCCCACAGCCCAGUCUAGACAGAAGAGUUAUACAAACUGGAAGGUUCGUGAUGUUCCCUACAUUGUUGGAGAGCGGGUCUUGCUUCGAGUUUCGCCUAUGAAGGGUGUUAUGAGAAUUGAGAAGAAAGGGAAGUUGAGUCCGAGGUUUAUUGGCCCUUUUGAGAUAUUGAGGCGUGUUGGGGANNNNNNNNNNNNNNNNNNNNNNNNNNNNNNNNNNNNNNNNNNNNNNNNNNNNNNNNNNNNNNNNNNNNNNNNNNNNNNNNNNNNNNNNNNNNNNNNNNNNNNNNNNNNNNNNNNNNNNNNNNNNNNNNNNNNNNNNNNNNNNNNNNNNNNNNNNNNNNNNNNNNNNNNNNNNNNNNNNNNNNNNNNNNNNNNNNNNNNNNNNNNNNNNNNNNNNNNNNNNNNNNNNNNNNNNNNNNNNNNNNNNNNNNNNNNNNNNNNNNNNNNNNNNNNNNNNNNNNNNNNNNNNNNNNNNNNNNNNNNNNNNNNNNNNNNNNNNNNNNNNNNNNNNNNNNNNNNNNNNACUGCAUUGUAAGCUUUUCUUUGGCUCACCAAGGGAGGUUGAUUAUGAGCUUGCCUUACCUCCCAGCUUGGAAGGAGUUCAUCUGGUAUUUCAUGUUUCGAUGCUCCAUAGUUAUCACGAUGAUCUAUCGCACGUGUUGGAUUUCAGUUCAAUCCAGUUGGACAAGGAUUUAUCUUAUGUUGAGGAGACGGUUCUAAUGUUAGAUAUGCAGGUUUCGGAACCUGAGGUCAAAGAACAUUGAAUUAGUAAAGGUUUAGUGGCGGGGUCAGCCGGUUGAGGAGGCGUCCCGGAAGACUGAGCAGGAUAUGCGCAGCCGUUACGCUCAUCUUUUCACUACUUCGGGUAUGUCUCUAUGCUCGUUCAAGGAUGAACAAAUAAUUGAAUAUAUGAGAAUAUAAUGACCCGGGUGGUAGUUCUAUGAAUUUAUGCACUAAUCCGCUAUUAACUGAAUUUCCCGUGUUUGUUUUUGCUCUUGUGAGUUACCAGGAUGAUUUAUUUGGAGUUUCGGAGUGUUUUGGGACACUUAGUCCUUAAGUUUUUGAAUUUGGACUGUAGUCGGAGUAGUGUGAAUACGGCCUUGGAAUGGAAUUCUGUUGGUUCUAUUAGCUCCGUUGGGUGAUUUCGGACUUAAGUGCUUGUUUCGAUCGUGUUUUAUAGGUCUGUAGUUAACUUUAGGCUUGAAAUGUCGAAAGUUGAAUUUUUGAAGUUUUCGGUUCGAUAGUGAGAUUUUGAUAUCGAGGUCAGAAUGGAAUUUUAGAAAUUAGAGUACCUACAUAGUGUUGAAUGUGACGUGCUGCCAAAUUUCAGGUAAUUCUGACGAGGUUUUAUAUACUUUUUUAUCGAAUGCAUAAAUUGAGGGUUUUUGGAAUUCUUUGGCUUGAAUCCAAUUUUAAAUUGGUGUUUUGAUGUUGUUUUGAGCAUUCCGAAGGUUGGAACAAAUUUGAUUGAUGUUUUAGGAUUGGUUGGCAUUUUUGGUUGAGGUCCCGAGGGCCUUGGGUGAGUUUCUGGUGCUUAACGGAAGUUGAAUUGGACUUGGGAGAAUUUGAGAUUGGCUGAACCUAUCACAACCGCACCUGCGUGAAUGGGACCAUAGGUGCGGCACCGUAGAAGAAGCUGAGAGACCUCAGAAGCGAGAUAGGCCGGGCUCUAGAAAACCACAGGUGCGAAAUAGCAAACGCACUUGUGAGACCGCAAGUGCCAUAAAGGAGUCGCAGGUGCGGAAUUGAUGUUUAAUGAAAUUUCACAUACGCGACAUUAAUUACACAGAAGCAGGACUGCACCGACUGCAAAUGCGGUUCCAAUGUUCGGAACAUAAAGUCCAAAAUUGAGGGUUUUGGGUUCAUAUCACAAAAUUGAAUUGGGAGCUCGGUAGGAGACGAACUUUGGAAAGAGUUUUGGAGAGAGUCUGCGGGAAAUAAUUCCUAACUUAUUUUUUUAUUUUAACCCAUUAAUCUAAACGUGAAUUUAUUGUCUAAUUUUGAAUUUGGGGAAAAUUUGGAAAAUUUCUUAGGCCUAAGUUUCGAGUUUUGAUUGGGGAUUUUGACAUUGGAUUUGGACAAUUAUGGUAUGUAUGAACUCAUGAGAUUGUAAGGAUUUUGGAAUUGUAAAUUUUAUCCGAUUUGAAGAUGUGGGCUCGAGGAGCGUUUUGGUUAUUUUUUAUAAUUUUGUGUAUUAGCGUAGAAUUAAUUAGUGGAAUAAGUUACUUGAAGUUAUAUUUACAUUUUGCAAUUGAUUUGAAUAGUUUUGGACCAUUUGGAGUCGAGUACUCGUGGCAAUAGUGUGGUUUCGGUUUGAUAUUGAGCCCGUUCGAGGUAAGUGGCUUGUCUAACCUUGUAUGGGGGAACUAUCCUCAGGAUUUGGUGUUGUUGAUAUAUGAAAUGCCUUAUUCAUGAGGCAACAAGUGCGUACAUAUGCUAAUUGUUGAAAAUUCGAUUUUCAUUAAG
Molecule: long non-coding RNA, 6933 nt
Filed under: Nicotiana benthamiana
Lineage: Eukaryota; Viridiplantae; Streptophyta; Magnoliopsida; Solanales; Solanaceae
Description: long non-coding RNA (NBEN_LNC013342)
Source: RNAcentral